Molecule: ribosomal RNA, 1352 nt
Filed under: uncultured bacterium
Lineage: Bacteria
Description: bacterial SSU rRNA
Rfam family: Bacterial small subunit ribosomal RNA
Source: RNAcentral
AUUGAACGCUGGCGGCAUGCCUUACACAUGCAAGUUGAACGGCAGCACGGAGCUUGCUCUGGUGGCGAGUGGCGAACGGGUGAGUAAUAUAUCGGAACGUACCCUAGAGUGGGGGAUAACGUAGCGAAAGUUACGCUAAUACCGCAUACGAUCUAAGGAUGAAAGUGGGGGAUCGCAAGACCUCAUGCUCGUGGAGCGGCCGAUAUCUGAUUAGCUAGUUGGCAGGGUAAAAGCCUACCAAGGCAUCGAUCAGUAGCUGGUCUGAGAGGACGACCAGCCACACUGGAACUGAGACACGGUCCAGACUCCUACGGGAGGCAGCAGUGGGGAAUUUUGGACAAUGGGCGAAAGCCUGAUCCAGCAAUGCCGCGUGAGUGAAGAAGGCCUUCGGGUUGUAAAGCUCUUUUGUCAGGGAAGAAACGGUGAGAGCUAAUAUCUCUUGCUAAUGACGGUACCUGAAGAAUAAGCACCGGCUAACUACGUGCCAGCAGCCGCGGUAAUACGUAGGGUGCAAGCGUUAAUCGGAAUUACUGGGCGUAAAGCGUGCGCAGGCGGUUUUGUAAGUCUGAUGUGAAAUCCCCGGGCUCAACCUGGGAAUUGCAUUGGAGACUGCAAGGCUAGAAUCUGGCAGAGGGGGGUAGAAUUCCACGUGUAGCAGUGAAAUGCGUAGAUAUGUGGAGGAACACCGAUGGCGAAGGCAGCCCCCUGGGUCAAGAUUGACGCUCAUGCACGAAAGCGUGGGGAGCAAACAGGAUUAGAUACCCUGGUAGUCCACGCCCUAAACGAUGUCUACUAGUUGUCGGGUCUUAAUUGACUUGGUAACGCAGCUAACGCGUGAAGUAGACCGCCUGGGGAGUACGGUCGCAAGAUUAAAACUCAAAGGAAUUGACGGGGACCCGCACAAGCGGUGGAUGAUGUGGAUUAAUUCGAUGCAACGCGAAAAACCUUACCUACCCUUGACAUGGCUGGAAUCCUUGAGAGAUCAGGGAGUGCUCGAAAGAGAACCAGUACACAGGUGCUGCAUGGCUGUCGUCAGCUCGUGUCGUGAGAUGUUGGGUUAAGUCCCGCAACGAGCGCAACCCUUGUCAUUAGUUGCUACGAAAGGGCACUCUAAUGAGACUGCCGGUGACAAACCGGAGGAAGGUGGGGAUAACGUCAAGUCCUCAUGGCCCUUAUGGGUAGGGCUUCACACGUCAUACAAUGGUACAUACAGAGCGCCGCCAACCCGCGAGGGGGAGCUAAUCGCAGAAAGUGUAUCGUAGUCCGGAUUGUAGUCUGCAACUCGACUGCAUGAAGUUGGAAUCGCUAGUAAUCGCGGAUCAGCAUGUCGCGGUGAAUACGUUCCCGGGUCU